RNAcentral lists this small nucleolar RNA (87 nucleotides) under Nelumbo nucifera (sacred lotus). Its description in RNAcentral is "Small nucleolar RNA snoR20a". It matches the Rfam family "Small nucleolar RNA snoR20a". From Rfam's summary of the family: The O.sativum sequence was obtained from the plant snoRNA database. Lineage: Eukaryota; Viridiplantae; Streptophyta; Magnoliopsida; Proteales; Nelumbonaceae. The record is from Rfam by way of RNAcentral.
GCCAAUGAUGACAAUUUGGAUUCGACUGAAUUGCAAAUAUUAAUCUUUGCUCCUUGUUGAUAUCCAUGAACUAGGACGGUCUGAGGC